This 459-nucleotide ribosomal RNA is filed under the name uncultured bacterium. RNAcentral's name for it is "partial 16S ribosomal RNA". It matches the Rfam family "Bacterial small subunit ribosomal RNA", at positions 338 to 795 of the family's 1533-position model. The record is from RNAcentral.
CCUACGGGAGGCAGCAGUGAGGAAUAUUGGUCAAUGGCCGGAAGGCUGAACCAGCCAAGUCGCGUGAGGGACGACUGCCCUAUGGGUUGUAAACCCCUUUUAUAAGGGAAGAAUAAAUGCUACGUGUCGCAUGAUGCCUGUACCUUAUGAAUAAGCAUCGGCUAACUCCGUUCCAGCAGCGGCGUGAAUAAGGAGGAUGAGAGAGUUCUACGGAUUUAUUGGGUUUAAAGGGUGCGUAGGCGGUUGUUUAAGUGAGCGGUAAAAUUUCGGGGCGCAACCCCGGCCGGCCGUUGAAACUGGGGGCCUUGAGUGGGCGAGAAGAAGGCGGAAUGCGUGGUGUAGCGGUGAAAUGCAUAGAUAUCACGCAGAACCCCGAUUGCGAAGGCAGCCUUCCGGCGCCCUACUGACGCUGAGGCACGAAAGUGCGGGGAUCGAACAGGAUUAGAUACCCUUGUAGUC